Molecule: long non-coding RNA, 1013 nt
Organism: Ictalurus punctatus (channel catfish)
Lineage: Eukaryota; Metazoa; Chordata; Actinopteri; Siluriformes; Ictaluridae
Source: Ensembl
UUUCGCCCAAACUCAACACAAGUUGGUUGAUAUAUUUGAGCAGCUCCAGUCUGUAAGAAAUGGAGACAGCAGACAAGUGUAGAAAAGUGCAGUAGAACAUAUGAGCUUUUUUACAGACAGUCAGUAACUAGAUUCCUAAACAGUGUGUGUUUGUGGUCACCGAUGAAGAUGGCUGUAUCUGAGGUGAGCUGUUGUCAUAGAAACAACACCCCGGUCUACAAGCUCCACGGUGACGUGAAUCCUGACUGCACCAUCACCUGGCUCACCCGAGACAACAAGAUGAUUGUAGAUGAUUCUGGUAAUGUGGACCCGGACACCGUAGUUUCAUACGAACACGGUGAGCUGACCGUGAAGAGCCGAGACUGUGAUGUGUUGGUCAGAGAGGACUGUCUGUCUCUGGGGGAGCGCAAAAUAAACUGCACAGCUCUGUGUAAACCAGAAAAGCCUAAUGUAACUGAAAACCUGACUACAGAAGACAGGAUCUCUCCUCUGAUCAUCAGCUUCAUCAUUCUCGGCCUCGUCGUCCUCCUCCUCCUCCUCAUCAUCCCCAUUAGUGUUGGUGUGGUGGUGUAUAAGAGACUCCAAGGGAGCCAUGACUUUGAAAAUGCGAACACCAUUAACGAAACUAAUGACCACCACAACAUCGUGGAACUCCAGCCUCUUCAGUGAGGUUGUAUAAACCGUGCCAGCGUUUGGCCGUCUGUAGAUGAAGUUAUAAAUGUAGAGGCAGGUGCGGAGACUUCCGCUGGAAUUACAAUGAGAUCUUCAAGGUGAUUUUCUUCAUUUUCAGUUUAAAAUGUAAGAACGUCACACCUGAAUGAGAAUCAGUACAAAGAGAAACCGACUUCUGUAGUUUAUAGAUUUAUAGAUAUAUAGAUUUAUAAAUAUAUAGAUAGAUGCUCUAUAUUACACAGUAAACAGAGAAACAGGACGAUCAGAUGAAAGUUGCACCGCUGAUGAAGGACUUUUGCCUCAAAUGUUUUUGUUUCUCUGAAAAAUAUAUAUAAUGUCAU